Molecule: ribosomal RNA, 440 nt
Filed under: Perictenus molecula
Lineage: Eukaryota; Metazoa; Arthropoda; Arachnida; Araneae; Ctenidae
Description: partial 16S ribosomal RNA
Source: RNAcentral
UUCUAUAAGCAAUAAUUUAUAGUAAAAUCUGCUCAAUGAUAAUAUAUAUAUAUAUAAAUAGCCGCAAUUGUGCUAAGGUAGCAUAAUAAUUUGUCUUUUAAUUAAAGACUAGAAUGAAUGAUAUAACAUUUUACAAAAUAUCUAAUAUUUAAAUAUUUAAAUUUUUUUAAAAAUAAAAAAAUUUUUAUAAAAAAAAAAGACGACAAGACCCUAUUGAACUUCACUUCAGUUCAACUGGGGAAGUUAAUUAAUUAUAAUUUUAAUUUAAAACUCCUAUAAUUUAUCUAUUUAAAUAAUUUUAAAUAAGUUACCAUAGGGAUAACAGCGUAAUAUUAUUCACAAGUUCUUAUAAAAAAUAAUGAUUGCGACCUCGAUGUUGACUUGAUUAUCUAAUUAAACGCAAUUGUUAAUUAAGUAAGUCUGUUCGACUUAUAAAGAUC